Lutra lutra (Eurasian river otter) is the source of this 266-nucleotide long non-coding RNA. RefSeq lists it as uncharacterized. The record is from RefSeq and is a predicted model, not a curated record. The transcript is spliced from 3 exons. Lineage: Eukaryota; Metazoa; Chordata; Mammalia; Carnivora; Mustelidae.
AGUGAACCCAGGUGCAGAAGUCUGGCUGCUCUUCGCGGGAUGUAUACACCCAGAAGAGGAAUUGCUGGAUCAUAGGGGAAAUAGUAGCCAAGAGAGAGGACGGCUCUCUUUCAAUUCCAAGAGUCCACGCCAGAAAGAGCUGGAGGAAUUCCGUCUGUGGACUUGGGAGUUGGGGACACUUGCAUUGGGACCCCGGCCCUCUCCCCCAACAGCAACACUGGAUUGAACUCUCAAGAUGGAAGAAAUUUGAAAACAAUAUUAAAAAA